GGGCAGGACCACUGCAAGGGUAGGGUGCUGAACCCCGCCAGGCCCGAAAGGGAGCAACGGUAGGCACCUGAACCCUGUGCCGGUGGUAUCCUGCUCCAU
Molecule: signal recognition particle RNA, 99 nt
Filed under: Dictyoglomota bacterium
Lineage: Bacteria; Pseudomonadati; Dictyoglomota
Also listed under: 1 other name
Description: Dictyoglomi bacterium (hydrothermal vent metagenome) signal recognition particle sRNA small type
Rfam family: Bacterial small signal recognition particle RNA
About the family: The signal recognition particle (SRP) is a universally conserved ribonucleoprotein involved in the co-translational targeting of proteins to membranes. Archaeal SRP consists of a 7S RNA and homologues of the eukaryotic SRP19 and SRP54 proteins.
Source: RNAcentral